GCGAGAGUGGCGAAACUGGCAGACGCGCUGGAUUUAGGUUCCAGUGCCGAAAGGCGUGCGGGUUCGACUCCCGCCUCUCGCA
RNAcentral lists this transfer RNA (82 nucleotides) under Planctomycetota bacterium. RNAcentral's name for it is "Planctomycetes bacterium tRNA-Leu". It matches the Rfam family "tRNA". Rfam says of the family: Transfer RNA (tRNA) molecules are approximately 80 nucleotides in length. Their secondary structure includes four short double-helical elements and three loops (D, anti-codon, and T loops). The record is from RNAcentral. RNAcentral also lists the same sequence under 1 other name. Lineage: Bacteria; Pseudomonadati; Planctomycetota.